RNAcentral lists this ribosomal RNA (460 nucleotides) under uncultured bacterium. Its description in RNAcentral is "partial 16S ribosomal RNA". It matches the Rfam family "Bacterial small subunit ribosomal RNA", at positions 338 to 795 of the family's 1533-position model. The record is from RNAcentral.
CCUACGGGAGGCUGCAGUGAGGAAUAUUGGUCAAUGGGCGGAAGCCUGAACCAGCCAAGUAGCGUGCAGGAUGACGGCCCUACGGGUUGUAAACUGCUUUUAUACGGGAAUAACGCGCCUUACGUGUAGGGCUUUGCAUGUACCGUAUGAAUAAUGACCGGCUAAUUCCGUGCCAGCAGCCGCGGUAAUACGGAAGGUCCGGGCGUUAUCCGGAUUUAUUGGGUUUAAGGGGAGCGUAGGCCGCAUGUCAAGCGUGCUGUGAAAUGUCCGGUCUCAACCCGGGCCUUGCAUCGCGAACUGGGGUGCUUGAGUCCGCGGAAGGCAGGCGGAAUUCGUCGUGUAGCGGUGAAAUGCUUAGAUAUGACGAAGAACACCGAUUGCGAAGGCAGCUUGCUGCAGCGGAACUGACGCUGAUGCUCGAAAGCGUGGGUAUCGAACAGGAUUAGAUACCCGGGUAGUC